GAUGAACGCUAGCGGCAGGCCUAAUACAUGCAAGCCGAACGGCAAGUUUGAUAGCAAUAUUGGACCUAGAGUGGCGCAAGGGUGCGUAACACGUAUGCAACCUGCCCGCGACAGGAGGAUAGCUCCCCGAAAGGGGAAUUAACCCUCCAUAACACCAUGAGAAGGCAUCUGAUUAUGGUUAAACCGCAAGGGGUCGCGGAUGGGCAUGCGGUUGAUUAGCUAGUUGGCGGGGUAAAGGCCCACCAAGGCGGUGAUCAAUAGGGAUUCUGAGAGGAAGGUCCCCCACACUGGCACUGGGAUACGGGCCAGACUCCUACGGGAGGCAGCAGUAGGGAAUAUUGGACAAUGGUUGCAAGACUGAUCCAGCCAUGCCGCGUGCAGGAAGAAGGCCUUCUGGGUCGUAAAAUGCUUUUUCCUGUGGAUAAAAUACCCGUGCGCGGGGAAUUGAAGGUAACAGGGGAAUAAGCCACGGCUAACUACGUG
RNAcentral lists this ribosomal RNA (483 nucleotides) under uncultured bacterium. RNAcentral's name for it is "partial 16S ribosomal RNA". It matches the Rfam family "Bacterial small subunit ribosomal RNA", at positions 28 to 507 of the family's 1533-position model. The record is from RNAcentral.